GAAUUUUGGACAAUGGGGGCAACCCUGAUCCAGCCAUUCCGCGUGAGUGAAGAAGGCCUUCGGGUUGUAAAGCUCUUUUGUCCGGAACGAAACGGUUACAGCGAAUACCUGUGACUACUGACGGUACCGGAAGAAUAAGCACCGGCUAACUACGUGCCAGCAGCCGCGGUAAUACGUAGGGUGCGAGCGUUAAUCGGAAUUACUGGGCGUAAAGCGCGCGUAGGCGGUUUUCCAAGUCGGGCGUGAAAGCCCCGGGCUCAACCCGGGAAAUGCGCUCGAAACUUGAAGACUGGAGGCCGGAAGAGGGUAGUGGAAUUCCCAGUGUAGAGGUGAAAUUCGUAGAUAUUGGGAAGAACACCAGUGGCGAAGGCGGCUACCUGGUCCGGAUCUGACGCUGAGGCGCGAAAGCGUGGGGAGCAAAC
This 422-nucleotide ribosomal RNA is filed under the name uncultured bacterium. RNAcentral describes it as "bacterial SSU rRNA". It matches the Rfam family "Bacterial small subunit ribosomal RNA", at positions 359 to 773 of the family's 1533-position model. The record is from RNAcentral.